CCUACGGGCGGCAGCAGUGGGGAAUAUUGCACAAUGGGGGAAACCCUGAUGCAGCGACGCCGCGUGAGUGAAGAAGUAUUUCGGUAUGUAAAGCUCUUUUAGCAGGGAAGAAAAUGACGGUACCUGACGAAGAAGCCCCGGCUAACUACGUGCCAGCAGCCGCGGUAAUACGUAGGGGGCAAGCGUUAUCCGGAUUUACUGGGUGUAAAGGGAGCGUAGGCGGCCAGACAAGUCAGAAGUGAAAGCCCAGGGCUCAACCCUGGGACUGCUUUUGAAACUGCCGGGCUGGAGUGAAGGAGAGGUAAGCGGAAUUCCUGGUGUAGCGGUGAAAUGCGUAGAUAUUAGGAGGAACACCAGUGGCGAAGGCGGCUUACUGGACUGUAACUGACGUUGAGGCUCGAAAGCGUGGGGAGCAAACAGGAUUAGAUACCCGUGUAGUC
RNAcentral lists this ribosomal RNA (440 nucleotides) under uncultured bacterium. Its description in RNAcentral is "partial 16S ribosomal RNA". It matches the Rfam family "Bacterial small subunit ribosomal RNA", at positions 338 to 795 of the family's 1533-position model. The record is from RNAcentral.